This 292-nucleotide ribosomal RNA is filed under the name uncultured bacterium. Its description in RNAcentral is "partial 16S ribosomal RNA". It matches the Rfam family "Bacterial small subunit ribosomal RNA", at positions 505 to 796 of the family's 1533-position model. The record is from RNAcentral.
GUGACAGCCGCCGCGGUAAUACAGAGGGUGCGAGCGUUGUCCGGAAUUAUUGGGCGUAAAGAGCUUGUAGGCGGUUUGUCGCGUCUGCCGUGAAAGUCCGAGGCUCAACCUCGGACUUGCGGUGGGUACGGGCAGACUAGAGUGUGGUAGGGGAGACUGGAAUUCCUGGUGUAGCGGUGAAAUGCGCAGAUAUCAGGAGGAACACCGAUGGCGAAGGCAGGUCUCUGGGCCACUACUGACGCUGAGAAGCGAAAGCGUGGGGAGCGAACAGGAUUAGAUACCCUCGUAGUCC